CUCCAGAUGUUGCUGAACUACAACUCCGAUGAAUGAAAUACAUAGGCUGAGAAUCAUGGGAGUUGUAGUUCAGCAACAUCUGGAG
This 85-nucleotide microRNA precursor is filed under the name Pelobates cultripes (western spadefoot toad). Lineage: Eukaryota; Metazoa; Chordata; Amphibia; Anura; Pelobatidae. The record is from RNAcentral.